GUGGGGAAUAUUGGACAAUGGGCGAAAGCCUGAUCCAGCCAUGCCGCGUGUGUGAAGAAGGUCUUCGGAUUGUAAAGCACUUUAAGUUGGGAGGAAGGGCAGUAAGUUAAUACCUUGCUGUUUUGACGUUACCGACAGAAUAAGCACCGGCUAACUUCGUGCCAGCAGCCGCGGUAAUACGAAGGGUGCAAGCGUUAAUCGGAAUUACUGGGCGUAAAGCGCGCGUAGGUGGUUCAGCAAGUUGAAGGUGAAAUCCCCGGGCUCAACCUGGGAACUGCCUCCAAAACUACUGAGCUAGAGUACGGUAGAGGGUAGUGGAAUUUCCCGUGUAGCGGUGAAAUGCGUAGAUAUAGGAAGGAACACCAGUGGCGAAGGCGACUACCUGGACUGAUACUGACACUGAGGUGCGAAAGCGUGGGGAGCAAACAGGAUUAGAAACCCGGGUAGUCC
This 450-nucleotide ribosomal RNA is filed under the name uncultured bacterium. RNAcentral describes it as "bacterial SSU rRNA". It matches the Rfam family "Bacterial small subunit ribosomal RNA", at positions 354 to 796 of the family's 1533-position model. The record is from RNAcentral.